Molecule: ribosomal RNA, 738 nt
Filed under: uncultured archaeon
Lineage: Archaea
Description: bacterial SSU rRNA
Rfam family: Archaeal small subunit ribosomal RNA
Source: RNAcentral
GGAUAACUUACCCUUAGGACUGGGAUAACUCUGGGAAACUGGGGAUAAUACUGGAUAUUUGGCUAUGCCUGGAAUGGUUUGCCUUUGAAAUGUUUUCUUUUUCGCCUAAGGAUAGAUCUGCGGCUGAUUAGGUCGUUGGUGGGGUAAUGGCCCACCAAGCCGAUGAUCGGUACGGGUUGUGAGAGCAAGAGCCCGGAGAUGGAACCUGAGACAAGGUUCCAGACCCUACGGGGUGCAGCAGGCGCGAAACCUCCGCAAUGUACGAAAGUGCGACGGGGGGAUCCCAAGUGUUAUGCUUUUUUUGUAUAACUUUUCAUUAGUGUAAAAAGCUUUUAGAAUAAGAGCUGGGCAAGACCGGUGCCAGCCGCCGCGGUAACACCGGCAGCUCGAGUGGUAGCUGUUUUUAUUGGGCCUAAAGCGUUCGUAGCCGGUUUGAUAAGUCUUUGGUGAAAGCUUGUAGCUUAACUAUAAGAAUUGCUGGAGAUACUAUUAGACUUGAAGUCGGGAGAGGUUAGAGGUACUACCGGGGUAGGGGUGAAAUCCUAUAAUCCUGGGAGGACCACCUGUGGCGAAGGCGUCUAACUGGAACGAUCUUGACGGUGAGUAACGAAAGCCAGGGGCGCGAACCGGAUUAGAUACCCGGGUAGUCCUGGCCGUAAACGAUGUAGACUUGGUGUUGGAAUGGCUUUGGGUUGUUCCGGUGCCGAAGGGAAGCUGUUAAGUCUACCGCCUGGGAAG